AAAGUCCCGUCCAGGGAAUUAUCCGUUCACCUUGGUAGCUCAAGGGAGCGGCGUUCGGGCAACCGAGGGUCGUGAGUUCCCAAUUGGCAAAAUUGCAGGCCGCAACGAAAGUGAACCUAUAUGUAGCCUCGUUACUUAUUGUAAAUGCCGACCCUGUGGUCAUAAGGGGAAGGCCGAUGUCCUCUGUACUGAAAACGGAAAGGGGCAGGGGGAUUUACCGGGGUAGCAGGGGU
Desulfobacterales bacterium S5133MH16 is the source of this 233-nucleotide non-coding RNA. The record is from Rfam. Lineage: Bacteria; Pseudomonadati; Thermodesulfobacteriota; Desulfobacteria; Desulfobacterales.